UACGUAGGGCGCAAGCGUUGUCCGGAAUUAUUGGGCGUAAAGAGCUCGUAGGCGGCUUGUCACGUCGGGUGUGAAAGCCCCGGGGCUUAACCCCGGGGUCUGCAUUCGAUACGGGCAGGCUAGAGUGUGGUAGGGGAGAUCGGAAUUCCUGGUGUAGCGGUGAAAUGCGCAGAUAUCAGGAGGAACACCGGUGGCGAAGGCGGAUCUCUGGGCCAUUACUGACGCUGAGGAGCGAAAGCGUGGGGGAGCGAACAGG
Molecule: ribosomal RNA, 256 nt
Filed under: uncultured bacterium
Lineage: Bacteria
Description: partial 16S ribosomal RNA
Rfam family: Bacterial small subunit ribosomal RNA
Source: RNAcentral